RNAcentral lists this ribosomal RNA (1091 nucleotides) under human metagenome. RNAcentral describes it as "bacterial LSU rRNA". It matches the Rfam family "Bacterial large subunit ribosomal RNA", at positions 1640 to 2718 of the family's 2925-position model. The record is from RNAcentral.
GCCCGUACCGUAAACCGACACAGGUGGGUGGGAUGAGUAUUCUAAGGCGCGUGGAAGAACUCUCUUCAAGGAACUCUGCAAAAUAGCACCGUAUCUUCGGUAUAAGGUGUGCCUAACUUUGUGAAGGAUUUACUCCGUAAGCAUUGAAGGUUACAACAAAGAGUCCCUCCCGACUGUUUACCAAAAACACAGCACUCUGCUAACUCGUAAGAGGAUGUAUAGGGUGUGACGCCUGCCCGGUGCUCGAAGGUUAAUUGAUGACGUUAGCUCUGCGAAGCGUUUGAUCGAAGCCCGAGUAAACGGCGGCCGUAACUAUAACGGUCCUAAGGUAGCGAAAUUCCUUGUCGAUUAAAUAUCGACCUGCAUGAAUGGCGUAACGAGAUGGGAGCUGUCUCGAAGAGGGAUCCAGUGAAAUUGUAGUGGAGGUGAAAAUUCCUCCUACCCGCGGCAAGACGGAAAGACCCCGUGGACCUUUACUACAGCUUGACACUGCUAUUGGGAUAAAAAUGUGCAGGAUAGGUGGGAGGCUUUGAUCCAUAGACGCCAGUUUAUGGUGAGCCGUUGUUGAGAUACCACUCUUUUUUAUUCUGAUAGCUAACUAGCUUGAGUUAUCCUCAAGUAGGACAAUGUCUGGUGGGUAGUUUGACUGGGGCGGUCGCCUCCCAAAAUGUAACGGAGGCUUACAAAGGUUGGCUCAGAACGGUUGGAAAUCGUUCGCAGAGUAUAAAGGCAAAAGCCAGCUUAACUGCGAGACAUACACGUCAAGCAGGGACGAAAGUCGGUCUUAGUGAUCCGGUGGUUCUGUGUGGAAGGGCCAUCGCUCAAAGGAUAAAAGGUACCCCGGGGAUAACAGGCUGAUCUCCCCCAAGAGCUCACAUCGACGGGGAGGUUUGGCACCUCGAUGUCGGCUCAUCGCAUCCUGGGGCUGGAGCAGGUCCCAAGGGUAUGGCUGUUCGCCAUUUAAAGCGGUACGCGAGCUGGGUUCAGAACGUCGUGAGACAGUUCGGUCCCUAUCUGCCGUGGGCGUAAGAAGAUUGAGGAGAGUUGACCCUAGUACGAGAGGACCGGGUUGAACCGACCACUGGUGUACC